UACCAAACUUCCCCUUAAUACGUCUCUCCGAACACACACAGCUAGAGUUCAUGUAAAUUGGGGGAUGAUGAAAAGAGAAUCUCAAUGUGUAUCUUUACUUUGUAGCAAGAUGACAUGUCGAUGUUCUACCAAUAUUACACCUUGUUGUCAGGGAUGGCAACGGAGCAAAUCAAGGUUGGGGUAGCCAUUCAUGUUUCCUGUCCCAUCGGGUAUUUUUGUUUCCUUGGCCCACUUUCAUAUACGGUGAAGGCAAGGUGAAGUGAGAUGGAAUGGAACAAUUGCGGUGCAAGGCAAGUUCCUUUCAUCGUUUAUUAUUUUAUUUAUUAUUUAUUUUUAUUUUUCAAUGUCUUUAAUUGGUGGAAAUCGCGACUUUUUUUUUUUUUUUUUUUUUUUUUUUUUUUGUGUAGAACGAUAUAUGCUUUGUUUAAAAGGGAUGAUGAUUCUUUGAUUUUUGUAUGAUAAGAAACUCAUAUUUUAAAAUGGUCUUUAAACAAGGUAGAACUUGAGGAUAUCGGAUUUAACGAAUUUUUUUAUCACUCGUAUCUCAGAGUUAGUUAUAAAUAAAUCAAUCAUGCUACUUGUACAAUGAAUUUGAUAACAAAUUUGACAAUGUGUGAGUUGGCAAUCAUCAUGUCUACUAAUUUGAAAAACAGUUUUUGAAUUCAAUGGUCAAGAUCUUUACACUUUACACAUUGUCAAACUCAUUGUGUAAAUUCAUUGUACAGCUAGAUUAAUUCAUAAACAAAUCAAUCAUGCUACUUGUACAAUGAAUUUGUUAACAAAUUUGACAAUGUGUGAGUUGGCAAUAUACCCCUCUCUUUCCUUUUCGAGUCCCACGUUGCUCCACGGGAUGACAACGCUUGAAUCCCCCCAUCACAAGCCUCUUAUUUUUUUUAAUUGUAUCAUGAAGAUGAAACUGCUCCCCGUUGUUAACAUAUCAAAUAAUUAUGAUUCAAACAUUUUUAUUUAUAUUGAAAACUCGAGCAUAUCAAUUGGUUACUCGUUAUUUGGUAUGUUAGUUAAGGUAAAACGAUAAUAUUAAACGCGAUAAAGUUACUUUGUUAGAAGGAUUUGAUAGGAAGUUCGGUAUUAUUGUAUGUGACUGUAGGUGAUUGGAUAAAAAGUUGACUUUAUUUUAAACUGUCCAAUGAUAGAAUGUCACGUUAUAUUUUCUCAAACUUUAUGUCAACAUUAAUGUUCAUGUAGCAUGAUUGUAUUGAACGAUAUUGAAAGAAUUAUAAUUUUAUUCAUGGUAUUUGAUGUUUGUUCAGGCUCAAAGACAAGGAAAAAUAGACUGACUUGACAACAAAUGAUUGGAAGUUUGUUGUUUUUAGUUUUCAAAUAGUCCAAUCAUGUGUUGAUACGUAUGCACCCUAUUCAUCGGAGGUUCAAAGAUGCUGACGAUUUCUAGGUAGCGUUCAAAAUUAUCCACCACAGGAGUCUUAUACAAUGAUUAGCUGUUAUUGAACUUUGGAGUUUGACUAAAAAUUAUCCCAAAUUAUACUAAUCCUUGAUUGGCGCAACUUUUUCAUUAUUUUGUGAUAAUCGAGUUUUUCC
RNAcentral lists this long non-coding RNA (1557 nucleotides) under Olea europaea subsp. europaea. The record is from RNAcentral. Lineage: Eukaryota; Viridiplantae; Streptophyta; Magnoliopsida; Lamiales; Oleaceae.